This 1479-nucleotide long non-coding RNA is filed under the name Anas zonorhyncha (Eastern spot-billed duck). RNAcentral's name for it is "lncRNA (ENSAZOG00000005087.1)". The record is from RNAcentral. Lineage: Eukaryota; Metazoa; Chordata; Aves; Anseriformes; Anatidae.
GCGGGAUGAUGGAGGUGGGGUAGGGGGGGUAAGGAUGGAUUUGGGGUGAGAGAGGGAUGGGUGGGGAGGCUGGAGGGAUGGAUUUGGGGCGAUCGGAUGGCUGGGUGGGCGGAGGGACAGAGGGACGGGUGUGGGGAGGGACAGAUGGACACAGUGCGGGGAUGGCGAGCUGUGGGGCCGGGGAGCUGGCUGACUUUUGGGGACGGAUGGAGGGACAGACACCCGGGGACGGGGAGCCCUUCUCCCCACGGCCACCCCGGGGCUGAGGGUGCCGUGCCCGCCCCGUGGCAGGGCCCGUCAGGACGGGGAGCGCUGGGCAGCGGCCCUACAGCGGGCACAACGGGAGGCGCUGGAGCGGGAGGCCACGCGCGGCGCGGAGCAGGCGCGGCAGCAGGAGCUGAUCCGCGACAUGAAGGGGCGGCUGCUGGAGCUGCUGCGGUGAGACACAGAGCCAUGCGAGGGUUCCCAAAUCCCGGCACCCAGAGGAGGGCACCAGAGCCCGGGGAAAUGCCGCUCGCCACCUCGGGGUGCCUGCCUGGCGUGCCACCCUUGGGUGCCCAACUUGGGUCUCCAACAGCCUCCCACACCCUCCACGGGGUGGGGACAACAGCAGCAGAGGGGCUGUUGCAUGGACCCUAUCAUGGGCACGGGCACACGAGCAGCCCAGGUGACGUGUCCCCUCCCCGUGUCCCCUCCCCGCAGGGAGAAGGACGCCCUGUGGCAGAAGACGGAGGGCAUCGAUGCUCCGGCACCCAGCCCGGCUCCCCGCGAGGCAGGGCUGUGCGCCCGCUGCCACAAGGAUUUCCGCCUCCUGUCCCGGCGCUACAGCUGCAGGCUGUGCCAGGGCAAGGUGUGCCACGCGUGCUCCGUGGACGUGGGCAAGCAGGGACGGUGCUGCCUGCUCUGCUACCAGCAGAGGCACCCGGCGGCUACGUGAGCCCCGAGGGGGGGCCGUCCCGCUGCGCCUGGGGGCACGGGGUCUGCGGGCAGCUCCUGGCACCCCAGGUUUUGGGGCUGAGAUGUUCUCCGCACGGCCGGCCCGUGGAGAGGGAAACAAACCCGGUCCUGUCAGCCCAGCGCCUCCGGUGUGGUCUGUCCGUCGGCAGCAUGGGGGGUGUGGGCAGGGGGACGGUGGCACGGGGGUGUGCGAGCCCUCCCCAUGGGGACUGUCCUUUAGCGGGGUGUCCCAGGCUUUGCCCCGUCCUGGUGUUGAGGGUUCUUAGCCAACAGCCCCGGUUUCCUGCCAGGCUUGCUUGGGCAAGAGCUUUCCCAGACACGAAGGUGAUGGGCUGGCCCUGCCGAGCUGCCCUGAGCCCCCCAAACCGUGGAUCUGGGUGUGGGGGACCCCCCGUGCCCUGUCCCCAGCUGUCCCCAUCCUGCACACCCCCGGGAUUAAGGCCCCCCAGGAUUAAGGCUCCCCAAGAGCUCGGAGCAGGGGGGACAGAAGAACAACGUGGGACCCUCCUGGGGAGACCCUGA